RNAcentral lists this ribosomal RNA (253 nucleotides) under uncultured bacterium. RNAcentral's name for it is "partial 16S ribosomal RNA". It matches the Rfam family "Bacterial small subunit ribosomal RNA", at positions 524 to 776 of the family's 1533-position model. The record is from RNAcentral.
UACGAAGGGGGCUAGCGUUGUUCGGAAUUACUGGGCGUAAAGGGCGCGUAGGCGGUACUUCAAGUCAGGCGUGAAAGCCCCGGGCUCAACCUGGGAACCGCGCUUGAGACUGGAGAACUAGAGUUCGGGAGAGGAUGGUGGAAUUCCCAGUGUAGAGGUGAAAUUCGUAGAUAUUGGGAGGAACACCAGUGGCGAAGGCGGUCCCCUGGGCCGGAACUGACGCUGAGGCGCGAAAGCGUGGGUAGCAAACGGG